This 1371-nucleotide long non-coding RNA is filed under the name Ananas comosus (pineapple). Its description in RNAcentral is "long non-coding RNA (ACOM_LNC028879)". The record is from RNAcentral. Lineage: Eukaryota; Viridiplantae; Streptophyta; Magnoliopsida; Poales; Bromeliaceae.
GUGAUUCUUUUUCUUCACUAACUUAGAAUCCCUAUUGGGCCAAGGUGGGGUUUGCAUUUUAUUGCUUUUUGACCAUAUAGAUAUUUUGAAAAGCACAAACAGCUUUCCACUACAGCAGAAACAAGCUUCUUUUGUGACCUUAGUUAGUUAAUUCGCGUAUAAUACGCGAAUUAUUCGCGACCAAUUGAAAAAGCGUAUAAAACGCUCCGUCUAUGAAUUUUUUCAAAAUAAUCGGAAUAAAACGCGUUUUUUUUACUUGCUCAAAAUAUUCGCGAUCAAAACGCUAUUCGCGAAUUAUAUUCUGAAAAAUUCGGAUUUAGCGGGCGGUGAAACGAUGAAAUUUUUCAAACAAAAUUGGAUUUGGCUGCCGCGGAGAUGAAAUUUUUCGAACCAGCGUCCCGCGACCAUCGCUUCGUAAAUCCGUGCACCUCCUCCGAGCAGUCGAGCAAUUUUGCUUCUUUAUUUUGAGGAAAUCAUGGAGGCGGAGUGAGCGAAGAAGAAGAAGAAAGGAAGAGGGACGAGGGUGAUAAAAAUCGCGGCCCACCGCGUUGGGAAAAAGCGCGGUCCACAAGGCUGCACUCAGCCUCGUGGACCGCGCGGGGUGGAGUGUGGACAGAUCGGUUGGGAAAAAGCACGGUCCAUGAGGCUCACUUAGCCUCAUGGAACUUGCCGUGGUGAACAACCUCGCGGUAUGGGAAAAAGCGUGGUCCACAGGCUCACUAAACCCGUGGCGCGUGGACAUCCCCACUUCAAAUAUAUAUUAAUAAAUAUAUAUAAUAAUAUAUUAUAUUAUAUAUAUGUAAUUUUAUAAAUUAUUUUAUAUUAUUUUAUUUUUAUAUUUAUAAAAAUUAUAAUUAUUUAUGAAAAUAGUAUAAAUCUAAAAAAAAUUUAAUUUAAUAGGCGAAUUUUUAUUCCGAAUUUUUAAAUAAUAAAUGUAAAAUUCUCGUAUAAAUCGCGUAUACGAAUUAUUGACAAAUCCGAUUUUUAAACCGUAUUUUUCAACGAAUUUAAAAAUCAAGAUACGAAUUUUAUUCGUAUUUUAUCCGUACCGAAUUUUUACCGUAUCCGAAUUAACUAACUAUGUUGGUGACUAUUUGGCCUUAGUUUGUAGGGUAUAUAGUGUUGAAAAUGUUGAUUGAUUCUUCAUUGAAGUCCCUCGUAACAGUUACUUUUUUUGCAGUAGAAGCAGAAGCUCCAAUUUGGUGCUUCUACUGUAGGGCCUCAAAAUCUCAUUUCUGCUUCCUAUCAUAGAAGAAUUUCGAAAUUGUUUCUAUUAGCUAGACACUUCAUAAGAGAUGGCUGCAAGACUUUAUUGUUUUACUAAAACCGCUAAUUGCUGCUUCUUAGAAUUGAAAAGCUGUUCAAUAAUCU